UGAGUUUGAUCCUGGCUCAGAUUGAACGCUGGCGGCAGGCCUAACACAUGCAAGUCGAGCGGAUGAAGAGAGCUUGCUCUCUGAUUCAGCGGCAGACGGGUGAGUAAUGCCUAGGAAUCUGCCUGGUAGUGGGGGACAACGUCUCGAAGGGGACGCUAAUACCGCAUACGUCCUACGGGAGAAAGCAGGGGACCUUCGGGCCUUGCGCUAUCAGAUGAGCCUAGGUCGGAUUAGCUAGUUGGUGAGGUAAUGGCUCACCAAGGCGACGAUCCGUAACUGGUCUGAGAGGAUGAUCAGUCACACUGGAACUGAGACACGGUCCAGACUCCUACGGGAGGCAGCAGUGGGGAAUAUUGGACAAUGGGCGAAAGCCUGAUCCAGCCAUGCCGCGUGUGUGAAGAAGGUCCUCGGAUUGUAAAGCACUUUAAGUUGGGAGGAAGGGCAGUAACUUAUUACGUUGCUGUUUUGACGUUACCGACAGAAUAAGCACCGGCUAACUCUGUGCCGGCAGCUGCGGUAAUACUUAGGGUGCAAGCGUUAAUCGGAAUUACUGGGCAUAAAGCGCGCGUAUGUGGUUUGUUAAGUUGGAUGUGAAAGCCCCGGUCUCUCCUGGGAACUGCAUUCUUAACUGACAAGCUAGAGUAUGGUAGAGGGUGGUGGAAUUUCCCUGUGUUCCGCUGAACUGCGCAUAUAUAUGAAGGAACACCAUUGUCGAAUGCGACCUCCUGGA
Molecule: ribosomal RNA, 730 nt
Filed under: uncultured bacterium
Lineage: Bacteria
Description: bacterial SSU rRNA
Rfam family: Bacterial small subunit ribosomal RNA
Source: RNAcentral